This 301-nucleotide ribosomal RNA is filed under the name uncultured bacterium. RNAcentral describes it as "partial 16S ribosomal RNA". It matches the Rfam family "Bacterial small subunit ribosomal RNA", at positions 509 to 809 of the family's 1533-position model. The record is from RNAcentral.
CAGCAGCCGCGGUAAUACGUAGGGUGCGAGCGUUAAUCGGAAUUACUGGGCGUAAAGCGUGCGCAGGCGGUUAUAUAAGACAGAUGUGAAAUCCCCGGGCUCAACCUGGGACCUGCAUUUGUGACUGUAUAGCUAGAGUACGGUAGAGGGGGAUGGAAUUCCGCGUGUAGCAGUGAAAUGCGUAGAUAUGCGGAGGAACACCGAUGGCGAAGGCAAUCCCCUGGACCUGUACUGACGCUCAUGCACGAAAGCGUGGGGAGCAAACAGGAUUAGAUACCCCCGUAGUCCCUGUCUCUUAUCC